RNAcentral lists this transfer RNA (81 nucleotides) under Alosa alosa (allis shad). RNAcentral's name for it is "tRNA-OTHER". Lineage: Eukaryota; Metazoa; Chordata; Actinopteri; Clupeiformes; Clupeidae. The record is from RNAcentral.
GUGGUGGUAGUGAAGUGGUUAAGGAGCUGGACUAGCAUGCAGUAGUCUGAAAAGUUGCAGGUUCAAUUCCUGGCUUCCACA